Molecule: ribosomal RNA, 513 nt
Filed under: uncultured bacterium
Lineage: Bacteria
Description: partial 16S ribosomal RNA
Rfam family: Bacterial small subunit ribosomal RNA
Source: RNAcentral
AUUGAACGCUGGCGGCAUGCCUAACACAUGCAAGUCGAACGGCAGCACAGUAAAGAUUUCGGUCUUUAUGGGUGGCGAGUGGCGGACGGGUGAGUAAUGCGUAGGAAUCUGUCCUGGAGAGUAGGAUAACCCGAGGAAACUCGGGCUAAUACUGCAUGAUAUCGAGAGAUCAAAGGCAGGGGACCCUUCGGGGCCUUGCUCUCUAGGAUGAGCCUACGUCGGAUUAGCUAGUUGGUGGGGUAAAGGCCGACCAAGGCGAGGAUCCGUAGCUGGUCUGAGAGGAUGACCAGCCACACUGGGACUGAGACACGGCCCAGACUCCUACGGGAGGCAGCAGUGGGGAAUCUUGGACAAUGGGGGAAACCCUGAUCCAGCGAUGCCGCGUGUGUGAAGAAGGCCUUCGGGUUGUAAAGCACUUUAGUUGGGGAAGAAAAGUAAUGAGUGAAUAACUGAUUGCUCUGACGGUACCCAAAGAAUAAGCACCGGCUAACUCUGUGCCAGCCGCCGCCGUAA